GACGAACGCUGGCGGCGUGCUUAACACAUGCAAGUCGAACGGAAAGGCCCUGCUUUUGUGGGGUGCUCGAGUGGCGAACGGGUGAGUAACACGUGAGUAACCUGCCCUUGACUUUGGGAUAACUUCAGGAAACUGGGGCUAAUACCGGAUAGGAGCUCCUGCUGCAUGGUGGGGGUUGGAAAGUUUCGGCGGUUGGUGAUGGACUCGCGGCUUAUCAGCUUGUUGGUGGGGUAGUGGCUUACCAAGGCUUUGACGGGUAGCCGGCCUGAGAGGGUGACCGGCCACAUUGGGACUGAGACACGGCCCAGACGCCGACGGGAGGCAGCAGUGGGGAAUAGUGCACAAUGGGCGGAAGCCUGAUGCAGCAACGCCGCGUGCGGGAUGACGGCCUUCGGGUUGUAAACCGCUUGCGCCUGGGACGAAGCGUGAGUGACGGUAAUGGGUAAAGAAGCACCGGCUAACUACGUG
RNAcentral lists this ribosomal RNA (468 nucleotides) under uncultured bacterium. RNAcentral describes it as "partial 16S ribosomal RNA". It matches the Rfam family "Bacterial small subunit ribosomal RNA", at positions 28 to 507 of the family's 1533-position model. The record is from RNAcentral.